AUAAAUUAAUGCAUAGUUUUAUAUGUGUGUGUACAGCGAGGCGUAGUUUGCUCUUAGAUAACAGAC
This is a long non-coding RNA of Aricia agestis (brown argus), 66 nucleotides long. RefSeq lists it as uncharacterized. The record is from RefSeq and is a predicted model, not a curated record. The transcript has 3 exons. NCBI's taxonomy places the organism in Eukaryota, Metazoa, Arthropoda, Insecta, Lepidoptera, Lycaenidae.